CCGGCGUGGUCGACAGCAGCGUGGACUCGUACUGCUUCCCGGGGGGCGCCGGUGCCGACGAGUACCACGAGUGCGUGGUGGGCCCCGUGGCGGGCGGGAUCCAGUCGGAGGAGGACGACGGCGCGGGCAGCGACGAGGGCUGCAGCUACUACCCCGACGACGCCGCCGCCGUCUUCUUCGCUGCCGCGCAAGGGCAGCACCACCAUCACACGGACGAUGACGAUCAGGACGAUGGUCAGAUCAGCUACUGGAUGUGGAACUAGCAGGCUAGCUCGCGCAUCAAGCGUGCGUGCGUGCGCUCGCCCCGAAAUCAAUCAAUUUCGUAUAUUUCGCUCUAUAUCAGUAA
RNAcentral lists this long non-coding RNA (346 nucleotides) under Hordeum vulgare. RNAcentral's name for it is "long non-coding RNA (HVUL_LNC016667)". The record is from RNAcentral. Lineage: Eukaryota; Viridiplantae; Streptophyta; Magnoliopsida; Poales; Poaceae.